AUUGAACGCUGGCGGCAUGCCUAACACAUGCAAGUCGAACGGCAGGCACGGGAGCAAUCCUGGUGGCGAGUGGCGAACGGGUGAGUAAUAUAUCGGAACGUGCCCAGUCGUGGGGGAUAACGUAGCGAAAGCUACGCUAAUACCGCAUACGAUCUAUGGAUGAAAGCGGGGGAUCGCAAGACCUCGCGCGAUUGGAGCGGCCGAUAUCAGAUUAGGUAGUUGGUGAGGUAAAGGCUCACCAAGCCGACGAUCUGUAGCUGGUCUGAGAGGACGACCAGCCACACUGGGACUGAGACACGGCCCAGACUCCUACGGGAGGCAGCAGUGGGGAAUUUUGGACAAUGGGCGCAAGCCUGAUCCAGCAAUGCCGCGUGCAGGAUGAAGGCCUUCGGGUUGUAAACUGCUUUGUACGGAACGAAACGGUGAGCUCUAAUACAGUUUGCUAAUGACGGUACCGUAAGAAUAAGCACCGGCUAACUACGUG
RNAcentral lists this ribosomal RNA (484 nucleotides) under uncultured bacterium. RNAcentral describes it as "bacterial SSU rRNA". It matches the Rfam family "Bacterial small subunit ribosomal RNA", at positions 30 to 507 of the family's 1533-position model. The record is from RNAcentral.